Molecule: transfer RNA, 65 nt
Filed under: Scolytinae sp. BMNH 1274713
Lineage: Eukaryota; Metazoa; Arthropoda; Insecta; Coleoptera; Curculionidae
Description: tRNA-Val
Source: RNAcentral
CAAAUUAAAGCUUUAGAGAAGCGUUUUAUUUACAUUAAAGAGAUUAUUUAAUAGAUGUGAUUUGA